UAGGGAAUCUUCCGCAAUGGACGCAAGUCUGACGGAGCAACGCCGCGUGAGUGAAGAAGGAUUUCGGUUCGUAAAACUCUGUUGUUAGAGAAGAACAGCGCAUAGAGUAACUGUUUUGCGUGUGACGGUAUCUAACCAGAAAGCCACGGCUAACUACGUGCCAGCAGCCGCGGUAAUACGUAGGUGGCAAGCGUUGUCCGGAUUUAUUGGGCGUAAAGCGAGCGCAGGCGGUCAAUUAAGUCUGAUGUGAAAGCCCCCGGCUCAACCGGGGAGGGUCAUUGGAAACUGGUUGACUUGAGUGCAGAAGAGGAGAGUGGAAUUCCAUGUGUAGCGGUGAAAUGCGUAGAUAUAUGGAGGAACACCAGUGGCGAAGGCGACUCUCUGGUCUGUAACUGACGCUGAGGCUCGAAAGCGUGGGUAGCAAACAGG
RNAcentral lists this ribosomal RNA (429 nucleotides) under Bacteroidota bacterium. RNAcentral's name for it is "Bacteroidetes bacterium partial 16S ribosomal RNA". It matches the Rfam family "Bacterial small subunit ribosomal RNA", at positions 355 to 776 of the family's 1533-position model. Lineage: Bacteria; Pseudomonadati; Bacteroidota. The record is from RNAcentral.